UCCCCGUUACCGGGGCAGUCUGGCUAGAAAAAUUCAACUAACCAUAGGGGUUGCGCUCGUUGAUGGACUUAACCAAACAUCUCACGACACGAGCUGACGACGGCCAUGCAACACCUGUCACUUGGUUCCCGAAGGCACUCUCGGCUUUCGCCAAAAUUCCAAGGAUGUCAAGCCUGGGUAAGGUUCUUCGCUUACCAUCGAAUUAAACAACACACUCCACCGCUUGUGCAGCUCCCCGUCAAUUCCUUUGAGUUUUAGUCUUGCGACCGUACUACUCAGGCGGGAUGCUUAACGCGUUAGCUUCGCUACUAACCGGGUCGAUACGGCUAACAGCUAGCAUCCAUAGUUUACGGCGUGGACUAC
This 363-nucleotide unclassified non-coding RNA is filed under the name uncultured bacterium. RNAcentral's name for it is "contains 16S-23S intergenic spacer region". The record is from RNAcentral.